UACGUAGGGUGCGAGCGUUGUCCGGAAUUACUGGGCGUAAAGAGCUCGUAGGUGGUUUGUCGCGUUGUUCGUGAAAUCUCACGGCUUAACUGUGAGCGUGCGGGCGAUACGGGCAGACUAGAGUACUGCAGGGGAGACUGGAAUUCCUGGUGUAGCGGUGGAAUGCGCAGAUAUCAGGAGGAACACCGGUGGCGAAGGCGGUUCUCUGGGCAUGUCCUGACGCUGAGGAGCGAAAGUGUGGGGAGCGAACAGG
Molecule: ribosomal RNA, 253 nt
Filed under: uncultured bacterium
Lineage: Bacteria
Description: partial 16S ribosomal RNA
Rfam family: Bacterial small subunit ribosomal RNA
Source: RNAcentral